UUCCUAGGUGAUUCUCUUCAAGGGGCCAAUAAUACUCCCUCGCUCCACCCUUAGGAACUUGGAAUAAAAUCUGGCAUGCCUAUGGUCUGUAGGGGUGAAGAGAUGUUUUAUUUUGACCUUUUGACUGGACAGAAUA
Small nucleolar RNA from Loxodonta africana (African savanna elephant), 136 nucleotides. Ensembl annotates it as small nucleolar RNA SNORA67. The record is from Ensembl. NCBI's taxonomy places the organism in Eukaryota, Metazoa, Chordata, Mammalia, Proboscidea, Elephantidae.